Molecule: long non-coding RNA, 1617 nt
Organism: Herpailurus yagouaroundi (jaguarundi)
Lineage: Eukaryota; Metazoa; Chordata; Mammalia; Carnivora; Felidae
Exons: 4
Source: RefSeq, a predicted model, not a curated record
CCAGGAGAUCAUAACCUGAGCUGAAAUCAGAUGCUCAAUCAACUGAGUCACCCAGGUGUCCCAAGCUUCCUUUUUGAGGGUUUCCAUCUACCACCUACUUCUACUUACCUACAUCCCACACAAUAUGGACAGGAAAAAAAGCAGAGUGCAUUUUAUAAUUUCAGAGGAUGGAAGACAGGAGCAAUUAAUUAAUGAAGACUGAAGAAAUACUUAUUAUAAUGUUUAAAAUGUUCUUUUGUACUUAUUUGACAAAAAUCCCAAGAUUCAUCAGUUUCUGGAAACUCAACGCAAGGUAAGAGCUGCAGCUGACUUUGAAUCUGACAUAUGUGUGAAGUAAGAACCCAAUCGACAUUGAAAUGCCAGUCUGUGAUUUCCCUUGAGGUAUUGCUUUAGUUUCUGUUCCAUCAAAAGCACACCAGCUGUAACUAUGUGUUAAAUAUUUAUUUUGGAGAUGGAUAGAAAGGAAAAUUAGACACAGCCUCCACUUUCAAAAAUUUUAAUCUGGUAAGGGUGACAGACUGAAGGGAGUACACAAAUCAGAUUUAGGGAGUGAACAAGAUAGUGGUUGUGGGGAAAAUGUUGAAGGUGAGCUGCAAAAGGAAUAUUGAAGCCCUGUGGGUCUGAGAACAGAAAUGCUGUUGUUGGGAUGUCUUUUAAUUCCCAUCUAGGUGGAUAGGGAGAAUUUUUUAAUACAUUCCACCCGAAUGUGGAAUCUGAUAACACUCAUUAGUUUGCCCAUGGUAUCUAGUAGUUUUAUGACAUCUACACACUUAAACUUUGGAAUGGUGUGUCCCUCAUGGUGGAGGGGAGGCGAAGCACAUAAACAAUUUCAGGGACUUCUUUCUAAAGUCCUUAGGCAAUCAUCCAACCUCUGUGUGUCUCAGUUUCUCAAUCUGUAAAACAGUAAUGCAAUAUCUAUUCCACAAAAUAGUUGUGAGAAUUAAAUGAGAUAAUCAUAUAAAGUAUCUAGCACAGAUUCUAGACCAAAUGUUCAAUAAAAAGCAGUCAUUAUUUUAUCCUUUCUUUCUUUUUUCUGUGAGACUGGCUUUCCUUCACUGUCACUGAUGAGACACUAACCAAGCUGGGGGAUCAAACAAGGGACGCUUCACCAAGAAUUCCACAUGAAUGGUUUACGAUGUUGGUGAAAUGUUCUCUAUGAUACCACAAAAUGUCUUCUUAAAACCAACCAAAUAAUGUUGAUCAGUAAAUUUCCUUCUUCAGUGAUCUCUGUGGACAGAAGAGUUUGAGGCACAUGAACAAAGAAUGCUCAAGAUUAUUGGGAUCUGGAAGGUACUUUGUGAACACAUGAGGCUGCGCACCUGUACUCUAUGAUGGUGGUUGACAUUGGUGGUGGGAAGAUUUCAACUUUUCUCUAAUUUAAGAAGAUUUAAAUAAAGUAUGUUGUUCUGAUUGAAACCUGUGAAGAAAAUCUAGCUGCAUGAAAAUGUGUAGCUGGAAAAGGGAGGAUUUGACGGACACCUGAAAGAAUCUCAAGGACUCGUAGGUGUUUUUGGACUGCAUUUUGAAAAUGACUGAUAUAGAUCAGAACACUGGACCCAGCCUCAGAAGACCUGAAGUUGAAGUCCUGCUUCUUCUGUCUUAAAUGUUAUAACCGGG